This 465-nucleotide ribosomal RNA is filed under the name uncultured bacterium. RNAcentral's name for it is "partial 16S ribosomal RNA". It matches the Rfam family "Bacterial small subunit ribosomal RNA", at positions 339 to 795 of the family's 1533-position model. The record is from RNAcentral.
CUACGGGGUGCUCCAGUGGGGAAUAUUGCACAAUGGGCGCAAGCCUGAUGCAGCCAUGCCGCGUGUAUGAAGAAGGCCUUCGGGUUGUAAAGUACUUUCAGCGGGGAGGAAGGGAGUAAAGUUAAUACCUUUGCUCAUUGACGUUACCCGCAGAAGAAGCACCGGCUAACUCCGAUGCCAGCAGCCGCGGUAAUACGGAGGGUGCAAGCGUUAAUCGGAAUUACCGGGCGUAAAGCGCACGCAGGCGGUUUGUUAAGUCAGAUGUGAAAUCCCCGGGCUCAACCUGGGAACUGCAUCUGAUACUGGCAAGCUUGAGUCUCGUAGAGGGGGGUAGAAUUCCAGGUGUAGCGGUGUAAUGCGUAGAGAUCUGGAGGAAUACCGGUGGCGAAGGCGGCCCCCUGGACGAAGACUGACGCUCAGGUGCGAAAGCGUGGGGAGCAAACAGGAUUAGAUACCCUCGUAAUC